ACACGACUACAUUAGAUACCCGUGUAGUCCUAAGCCGUAAACGAUACUCGCUAGGUGUCGGCCACGGUGCGACCGUUGUCGGUGCCGUAGGGAAGCCGUGAAGCGAGCCACCUGGGAAGUACCGGCCGCAAGGCUGAAACUUAAGGAAUUGGCGGGGAGCACAACAACGGGUGGAGCUUGCGGUUUAAUUGGAUUCAACGCCGGAAAUCUUACCGGGACCGACAGCAACAUGAAGGCCAAGCUGAAGACUUUGCCGGAUUAGCUG
RNAcentral lists this ribosomal RNA (265 nucleotides) under uncultured archaeon. RNAcentral describes it as "partial 16S ribosomal RNA". It matches the Rfam family "Archaeal small subunit ribosomal RNA", at positions 719 to 982 of the family's 1478-position model. The record is from RNAcentral.